AGAGUUUGAUCCUGGCUCAGAAUCAACGCUGGCGGCGUGCCUAACACAUGCAAGUCGAACGCGAAAGGGGCUUCGGUCCUGAGUAGCGUGGCGAACGGGUGAGUAACACGUGGGUGAUCUACCUUCGAGUGGGGGAUAACGUUCCGAAAGGAACGCUAAUACCGCAUGACGUUCUGGGUUUAAAGACCUGGAAACCAAAGCCGGGGACCGCAAGGCCUGGCGCUUGAAGAGGAGCCCGCGUCCGAUUAGCUAGUUGGCGGGGUAAUGGCCCACCAAGGCGACGAUCGGUAGCCGGCCUGAGAGGGCGGACGGCCACACUGGAACUGAGACACGGUCCAGACUCCUACGGGAGGCAGCAGUGGGGAAUUGUUCACAAUGGGCGCAAGCCUGAUGACGCAACGCCGCGUGGGGGAUGAAGGUCUUCGGAUCGUAAACCCCUGUCGAACGGGACGAAAGACUCGGGAGCUAAUCAUCUCGAGAGUGACGGUACCGUUAAAGGAAGCCACGGCUAACUCUGUGCCAGCAGCCGCGGUAAUACAGAGGUGGCAAGCGUUGUUCGGAAUUACUGGGCGUAAAGGGCGCGUAGGCGGCCUUCUAAGUCAGACGUG
This 608-nucleotide ribosomal RNA is filed under the name uncultured bacterium. RNAcentral's name for it is "bacterial SSU rRNA". It matches the Rfam family "Bacterial small subunit ribosomal RNA", at positions 8 to 596 of the family's 1533-position model. The record is from RNAcentral.